UUUAGCAUUCCUACAAGCAAUACAGAGUUCAGGGGAUCUACUUCUUGACACAGGACACGUACAGCUAAAUAUGUAUGCCAUUCGUUACCUAUCUUUCUGGUAAUGACUUUCCAAAGCACGAGAAAGUACUGAGUCUUGUGCGUGCCCCAAAUCCUCACCUGCUGCUUGAGAAACCAGGGAAAAUUUCUGUGGGCAUCUUAAAGACUGCAGUUCAGUUGUGUGUAGCCAAAGUUCUGCUCUGCUGUAAUCAGCCAUUAAAUACCAUGGACUCCCGCCUUUUAACACUACUAAUAGCUUCGACUUUGAAAUGUUUAGGAUAAAAUAAGCUAAAAUUGAUCUUAUGAAGGUAAAUUCCAGAAUAGUAUUGACGUGCAGAAAGAAAAGGCUUCCAGCUGCACAUCCUCUUUCUAAGCCACUAUUUUCUCUCAACUGAGCUCUCUCCUAACACACUAAUUAUAUUUUAUUGGUUGAAUUUCAUUUCUACCUUGCCCAUGUUGUCACGUCUGCCAUUUCUAGAUGAGUUCCAUCCACUCCCCCAGACGCAACGUGUGUUCUAUGCCCUCUGAAGCACAGCAGUGACAAGUUAGUUCAGAAUCACCGCCUCAGGACCACACAGGCAUGCAGCCCUGGGAAUGCAUCUUCACAGUAACCAUAGCAGCGUGGAAGUCAGCAGUCAUACGCAGGUGGACAAGACAGACACAAGAAGUGCUGGAUAUGGAGAAACACCCCACUAACAAGCUACUGGACACGCAGCCGCGAAGAACCGCAUGAAAUCAGCACGAAGGGCACUAAGACACUGUGCACCAGCACAAAACCAAGAGAGGCUUAACGACGAGCCCUCUCAAAAGCAAGCAAAGAAAGAAAGUUUCCCUGGGAUUAUUACUGUUAUUACAGUAAAUGCAGCGGUUCUCCGCCCCGGCCGCCCCGCACGGCGCAGCGCAGCGCGGAGCUCACCUGGCGCCGGCGCGGGGCUCCCUGCGGCAGUGCCCGGGGCAGAGCGGCGGCUGCCAGACGGGCCCGGCCACCUGCCCGCCGCUCUCAGCCGCUAACCGCUGUUACACCGGCAGCAGCCGCAGCUCAAAGCGCUGUCCCGGCAAAGCGAAGGUGGAGAUAACGUUCCCGCGGAUCUAAUCGAGUUUCUGCUGUUGCAACCGCUUUUAAUUACCCUCCGAACGGCACAUCGCAUGGCGAUCCUCUACAGACACCGGAGCGGGCGCGGCGACAGCGAGACUCCCAUAAACGCUUUACAGCCCGCCCGCUGCUCAAAAAGCCACAAGUUUGGCACUUAUGGAAGUCGCCCCCUCCCGUCCCGCACUUACAGGUCUCUGAUUCUCCACAAAGAGAAAAGGAAAAACAUCUGUCAGUUUGGUAAUGUUUUAGGGAGGUGCUGUUGUUCCAAAAGGCUGUUGGGACCCUAAGACUUCCUGCAGGUUCUCACAUCUUGGCAUACUGUCCUCGUGACUUAUCCUGCAGCCAACUUUGUAUUUCAUCAAGGUAGUAAACAAAACCUGAAGGGUUCUCAGCAAAACAUUGUCUCAAAUCUCCUCCCGUCUUCCUGAUACUCAAGCAAAGAAGCUGUCUUCUGGUUGUGAUAAUGUGAUGAUCCUCUAGCUUAAGGCUUAUCAAUAGAAAAGAUAUGUUCCUGGGUUGCUUGUGUACUAAGAAACAAAACACGUUAUGUAUUAUAUUCACACUGAAAGCACACCAAUUCAUACAAUAGAUAGAUAUAUUUAACAUGUGUCUUUUGGGCAGAUCAUUAAUUACAUCAGGACACUUUAGAUUUCGUAUGAAAGUUGAUUUUAAAGUACAGAACUAUGAAAAGAAACUUUAACUGCUAUUUCUGCUUUGGAAGCUUAAACUGGAUGAACUAACUCAAAAAAAAAAAAAAAAUAGUGUGGCUAAAGCAUUUAACAAUGGAAAGUUAUACCUCAUUCUGCAAUGAUUGGUUUUCCCAGCCAAAAUGGAGUUUAAAGCAGAAACUGCAACAGAUCCUGCACUAGCAAAGGUAGCAGCCAAAGCUUAGGUAUUAAGGCAAGUCCAGUACAGAGCCAAAGUUAAAAAUAAAUAUAUAGUUGAGAAGAUCAAGGUAGUUUACAGUUGAACAUACCAUGUUUCUUCCUUUCUUGUCUGUAAUAAGUACACAGAAGGCAGUUCAACCAUGUAGUUAGGCUAUGGAAAGAACAAAGCUGUUGUACAGAGUGGGAUUUCUUUUUCUGACCACUGGGGGAGCAAAUUCGUCACUGGGCAUGUUGUAGUCCUUACACUGAAACGGUUCAUUAAACGAGUGUGAAGCUCCAGUAGCGCUUAGGCUGUGCUACUGCAGAGCAGUGCUGGUGCUGCAUGGUUAUCUGUGCAGAAGGAUUCUUUUCACUUUGCAGGACACCUGACUUAUACUUUUGUUCUGGUCAGCCUCGAGGGACUGUGUAUGCCAUUUAGUAACUAUUGCUACGUGGUGUUUUUAUACAUACAUACAGCAGAAGGCUGUAUACCAUGUUCAAUUUCAUAGUUACCUGUCAGUAAACAUUCACACUUGUGUCAUGUACCUUUCUUGUUUCAGUGAGAAUCUUAAGCUAGAACAUGUAUUUACAGUGUUCUUCAGACCAAGGCAUAUGGCACCAUUUCUGUUUUACAUAAUAAAUGGAGAAUGGUUAGGGCAGAGUCGCUCCUAGAACCUAGAAGAAAGACAAAACUGUAAUUACCCUCGCCCUAUUUACCACAUGGCUACAAUAUGUCAAUUGCAAUUAUAUUAUGGAUUAUGUGCCAUUAACUGGUUUCUGUUCAGAUUUCCAUGCUAUUUAGGGCAUGCUCUGUCAUGAAUCUUUAGAAACCAUCUUUUUGUGUUGACUCUUUUGUUUGGCACACUGCCACCUAGCUGCUGCCUUCCAUCAACGGUUCUGAAGUUAUGCUAGAAGCAAGAUGGCACUUUUGACAAGUGAAGCUUACCUGAAAUAUUCUUCAGUAGAGAAACUGCUGAUGGGAAGAAGGGACAAAAAUAGAAAAACAGAAUUAUUAUUACAAUUUGUACUGUGACAGUUGACUCAGUAUAAUUUUGAAGCAAGUUGUGAUGUGCUGACAUUAUUUUCACUCUGAAAAAAAAAAUUGAUUGCAAAACACACACAGAAAGUGAAAAAGUCAUGUUUUUCCAGGCACAUUUUAAUAGGUAGUGAUUCGGGAAAAUAAAUGAGGAAGAAAUGUAAAUACAUAGGAGGCAGAUUUACUGAAUAUUUAUUUGGAGAGAACGAAAGCUGAUCAUUACAGUAACACUCAGUAUAGGAAAUAAAAUCCACGUGUUAGAAUGAAGAUGUGGAAAUAAGCUGUAUAAAGAAACUAUUACUUUGAGUUGAGGUGGAUGUGACAUCAUUUAGGGAAUUAAAGCCAGGCUGCAAAAGCAUUAAGUGGAUAUUUCACCAAAAUUGGAAAGAUGUGUUUUAAAUAACACUUUCAACGAUGCUUUUAAACUCUAGCAGUAAUUGUUCUGCUACUGUAUCUUUAUAUAUCUGUAUAUCAUAUAAGGCCACAAGGGGAGAACACGUAUGCUGUGCAUAAAUGUACAUGAAGAAUGCUAAGAUAAUACAGGAGGAGUAAUAUCUCCUAUUAGUACAACUAAUAUUUGAAAACAUCAGCUCUCUUUUUGGCUCAUCAGUCCUUUUUUCUCAAACUGUCCAUUCAAAGUUUGCCUUACUAUAGCCCUAGAGAAUCACCAUCAGACAUGAUAUUUUUUUAAGAACCAUGAGGCAUGAACAGUAUGGCACCGAGGCAAGUCAAAUUGCCUAUGUCCUUCCUCUAUCUAUAUUUACAUGGUUUUCUGAACCAUGCCUUCUGAUAGUAAGUCAUUGCAACAGGUCUAUGAGUGAGAUGGUCUGUCAUGGUUUCCCAUGCAUUUGUCUGUUUUUACAUGCGCUGGAAAGCAUAUGGUAGAUUUGAACCCCAAAUAACAAAUGGUAUCAAAUUUUGCUCAAAAAAAGUCUGAAAAAAAUAUGAAAAAACAUGACAUUGGAAAGAUACAUUGUGAUGGAUGAUUCACUGUGACCCUUUUCUCAAUUGCACAGUUUCUGGACUCUUUAUCACUGCACUAGAGUAACCAGUAGCCAGUCAUUCAGUUUAACAGCAAAUAUUGAAGCCAAACACUAAGUAAUUUGCAUUAUAGUACAAUAGUGAGUCCAGAAAGUGCCAUAUCCAGUGGUGUUUUUCAGUGGGAUUUGGAGGAAGCUCUGCAAAGUAUUGCUCACUUAAUACAACAAAAGUUCCAUAUUUCAAUUGAAUGUCAAUACAUCCACAUCUAUGAGGAAGUUAACUCCAGUUCAUAAAGAGUUGCAGAGUUUUUUCCCUAACAUUUUUAAAACAUAAAACCCUUGAAUAUGUGGGUGUGUGGAGAUAUAUGAUGUAUUUCUGUGUCCGGUACGUGCUGUGGAGAUCUGCAUUCUUCUUUGGGUAAAGAUGAGAGUUGAUACAUACCAUGUGCAUGCAUAGAGUCAUUUCUUAAUUUAGCAACUCAUACAGAAAGUCUGUCCAAUUCUUUUCAUCUUUCCUUCUUUCACUGUGUCUGUGUGGCAAACACCCUGGGGUUCCUGUGGUUUUUGAAGUGUAUUUGCAUGAUACUGUAUAAAGAGCGAAUACAUUGUUUUGCAGUUGUUCGAAGGAGGUCACAAUAAUAGAUUUUUUUCUUCUUCUUUUUCAUUUUUUCCCUUUCUUUUUCCUUUCUUUUCUUUUUCUUUUUUUUUCUUUUUUCUUUCUUUUUUUUUCCUCUUCAUUGGUAGUUGUAAUAGUUUUGGUAAUUUGGGGGUCAGCAGUUGUACAAAAGGAAGAAAUGUAUCUAAGAAGCACCUAAUUGUGACAAAUUAACAAGAGACUUUAGAUGUGGUCUAAUACCUUGUGUUCCUGGAAAUCCCUCUCCAAAAGGAGGAGUUACAUAGUUUUUAUUUUUGUCUGAGUAUUUGGCUCCUGAGCUGUAAGCACAGAAAAAGAAGAUUUCUUUGCAGAAAGGGAGGCCAAGUAUUUUUUGAUCACAAAUAAGACCAAAAUAUUUCAGACAUGCUAUACCACUGUGAUAGCAGUGCUUUUCCUAUUCUUGAACUGGUCUUCAGAACAAUCAAACAGAAAAUACUUUACAGGACUUUAUUUUUUAAGAAGUUUUGGAAAACUGCUGGCAUAUUGUCCAGUGCAAAAGUAAGCAACAAAGCUUUAUAGUAUGUAGUUAAUCAGAGCAGAUGUUGAUGAGUCCAUCUUUCUGUGGCCCCUAUGUUCCAUUUUUACUUUGUUAAGUUUAGCACCAUUAUGACAAACUGACAGGAUACAUUACCCACCCCUAUGUUGAUGUAGUCCCAUCCACAGUAAUGCAGAAUGACACGAGGAGUGGGAAGGUUAAAGCAUAGGUCUAUUCCCCUAACAGACACACAAAGACUCCACCAGAACCUACCAGCGAUGCAGGAAAAAUUGAGUGCUUUACAUAGAUGUGCAAGAAACAUUGCUUUUUCUUUAUGGUUUACACCUGUGCAAUGCCCCUGCUGCAGCUGGAGGAAGGGGACUGGCCCUGAACUGCAGCAAUACAUUCAGCAGGAAGAAAAAAUGAAGUUGUUUGCCUGAAGCUGAUGCAGACCUGAAAACUUAAGGCUCCUUACGGAAAGAAACGUGGAGUAAAGUGAUUACAGCCCAGAUAUUUAUAGGAAGAGGAGAGUGGAUGAGUUGGAGGAGCAUUGAGUUUGAAAGAAGAACACUGGGACAUUCAGAACUAAGAGGAACUUUGGAACAGGAAUCACAGGGAGGUCAUUACAGAGAAGAGCUGGGAAGGUGGCUCACAAAGGACUUGCAAGGGAAAGAGGUAAAAAGGCUUGGAACCUGCAGUCGUUAUGAAGUACAUAACUAUCAAAUUUCUGUGGCCUUUCUUCUACAAACUGUGCCCCUGAUAGUGUUAAUAGUCUGUUAAUUGCUAUAUAUUUGCAUUAAAUGUUUUUGAAAGUUGAAGAUAUAUUUCUGGUUUGAAUGUUAGAAUCAGAGUCUGGUGUAACAUUAAUAUGUUUUUAACAUGCCUUAGGUUGCUUCUCUUCUGCUCCUUGGCAGGGCUGAUGAGCUGACUGUAGGGUAGACAUGGCUGUUUUGAAUUGUGUUUCCCUUUGAGGCAAUCAGAUUACUUGAACUACCUUUCUAUUUAUAAACCCUGCUUAAUGGAGUAUCAGCAUGGACCCAUGACAUGCAACAUCUCUACAAAAGCGUGGAACAGGAUGCUAUAUCACUGAAUUUCCUCUGUCACUUUUGAAACUUUUUUGGGGGGUCUUUUUUUGUGGGUCUUUUCCAACCUUAGCGAUUCUAUGAUUCUAUGAAACCGAAGGGGUUUCUGAGUGACACUUACCAGCUCUGGCUUUAAGCUGCGAAAACUCCAUCAACGUCCACCGAUUGUGCAGGGAACUUUAGAGCCUCUUACAAGGCUAACAGGGUUUUCAGUGCUGGAUAUUACUCAGACUACUGUCAUUAGCCCUGAAAUGUCCAAAUGCAUGGCUGUUGCAGGACUUUUACAAAAAUAAGUACUUGAAAGAAGUUCAAAUUUAUAGUCUAUGGACCUGGUUCAGACCUCAGUUAAGUUCUUGUAAAUCCCAAGUAAAGUUCAUUUUGUAGUAGUAGCUGAAAGGGCAAGAUUCAGAGCAAUACAGUGUCAGUAUGGUUUCACAGAAGCCAAUGCAUUUAUUUCUGUUAAUAAAUCAGGCCUCUAAGCAUUUGGCUACUUUUCUUUAGUAAUUAAUGGAGAUAGUAGAUGAGGAGAGAGUGUUCAUACCACCCAAAUUUAAUCUCCUAGGCAUCUCUCUGAAGCUGAUUAAGAGCUAUAGAUUCUUCCAGAAUGUAGUUCAAAGCACUUAUAUUAAUUAUUUUAUGUAUUUGUGGAUAGUUAAACUAAGGUUGCCAAGAAAAAGCAAGCUUGCAUUGACUGUGAUUAGAGUUAAUGUUACAGUAGAGCAGAGCUCUGAGAUGUUAUACUCAGGAGAGAGGAAACUCUGAGAAAUAAAGGCUAAUAUAAAAAACUCAGGCUUAGUAUUCUGAUUACGUACAUUUUUUUGUCUACAUUUGGCUCAAAGCAUGGGCCCCUGAGAUAGGUGAAACUGAAGGUUGAAAGAAAAUCAGUACUAAUAAUUUUGGUCUAAUGCAACUUGGAAUCUGUCAGAAGGAGCAGUGGAAUAGGAAGCAGCCUUUGGUCAAGUUUAAUUUUUCUCUGAAAUAUUUCUGUGAACUAUGGUAAAAACAGAUGGAAUCUAAAAUAUACUAAGUGGAAGAAAAUGACAAAAGGAUAAAGCAAUGCAUUGUACUGAAAAAUAAUUACUUUAAGUUUGACCACUUGGAAUGUGUUUCAAAAGCACCAAGUCAAAAGCAUUUUCUUUCUACUUUUUCAUUUCCAUGAUACAUUUUCCUUUUCAGGGAACACAUCUUCAUCUGUAGAACAAAUAUGUGCUUAAUGCAUUUUAUAUUAAGAACAAUAAUGCUUGACGUUGAAUUUUAGCAAAUGUUAUUAUGGAAAGAAGUCGUAAGUACCAGGUCUGUUGGCCGAUGAUUUUAGGGACUGUUUCUUUGAACAUGGAAAUUUAACAAAACUGAAAUGACUUGGGAAGAGAGGAAGGCUUCAGAAAGGGUGCUGUGUUGUUUGUGGGUGGCCAUGCUGAAUUCAGACACUUUUGCUUCAGAUUUUAUAUCUUCUCAGCAACCUGCAGACUGACCCAUUCCUUUGUAAUGGAGAGCAAAAUCUACAUCUUCCAUACAGUGUUAAUUUGAGUCAAAUCAGAUACUACUACUCUUUAGUAAUGUUCCUUUGUACCCCAGAAUCUUCAGAACGAUGUAUUUCUGUGUGUUUAUGUUAUCAAAAUGCAACUGCUCAUUUUUGAGGCACUAGUAUUUUUUUGCUGUCUUCACCUUGCAGGACUGAGUUAUUAAUUGAGAACAACUUAAAAACAAUUUGAGAUGUUACACUAACUGUGGUAAUCAAAAAAAGAUAAUCUAUAUUUUAAUUCAGAGUUUUAGUAGUUAGAAUUUUCUCCAUUUUUACUGGUAUCCAGCAGUCUAAC
RNAcentral lists this long non-coding RNA (8042 nucleotides) under Gallus gallus (chicken). Lineage: Eukaryota; Metazoa; Chordata; Aves; Galliformes; Phasianidae. The record is from RNAcentral.